GGGGUGACUAGUGACAGAGUUAGGGAGGGAAAGGGGUGACUAGUGACAGAGGGAGGGGUGACUAGGGACCAAGUGAGGGAGGUGGUGACUAGUGACAGUCACCCCCUCCCUCACUAGUCACUCCCUCCCUCCCUCUGUCACUGGUCACCCACUCCCUCCCUCACUCUGUCACCAGUCAUCCCCUCACUCUGUCACUAGUAACCUCUUCCUUCCCUCACUCUGUCACUAGUCACCCCC
This is a non-coding RNA of Pelobates cultripes (western spadefoot toad), 237 nucleotides long. The record is from the annotation of a GenBank genome assembly. NCBI's taxonomy places the organism in Eukaryota, Metazoa, Chordata, Amphibia, Anura, Pelobatidae.